CCCAGGAAAAGCCUCUAAGCUUCAGUUGCAUGGGACCGUACCGUAAUCGGACACACGUGGGCAGGAUGAAGAUUCUAAGGCGCUUGAGAGAACUCAGGAGAAGGAACUCGGCAAAUUGACACCGUAACUUCGGAAGAAGGUGUGCCCUGGUAGGUUGUAGCCGUACAGGCGAAGGCCGAAGGGGUUGCAAAAAAUCGGUGGCUGCGAGUGUUUAAUAAAAACACAGCACUCUGCAAACACGAUGAGUGGACGUAUAGGGUGUGACGCCUGCCCGGUGCCGGAAGGUUAAAUGAUGGGGUGCAAGCUCUUGAUUGAAGCCCCGGUAAACGGCGGCCGUAACAAUAACGGUCCUAAGGUAGCGAAAUUCCUUGUCGGGUAAGUUCCGACCUGCACGAAUGGCGUAACGAUGGCCACACUGUCUCCUCCUGAGACUCAGCGAAGUUGAAAUGUUUGUGAUGAUGCAAUCUACCCGCGGCUAGACGGAAAGACCCCGUGCACCUUUACUGUAGCUUUGCAUUGGACUGUGAUGGGAUCUGUGUAGGAUAGGUGGGAGGCUUUGAAGUGGGGGCGCUAGCCCUCAUGGAGCCGUCGUUGAAAUACCACCCUGAUGUCAUUGCGGUUCUAACCUUGGCCCCUUAGCGGGGUUGGGGACAGUGCAUGGUAGGCAGUUUGACUGGGGCGGUCUCCUCCCAAAGAGUAACGGAGGAGCUCGAAGGUACGCUAGGUACGGUCGGACAUCGUGCUGAUAGUGCAAUGGCACAAGCGUGCUUGGCUGCGAGACUGACAAGUCGAGCAGGUGCGAAAGCAGGACAUAAUGAUCCGGUGGUUCUGAAUGGAAGGGCCAUCGCUCAACGGAUAAAAGGUACGCCGGGGAUAACAGGCUGAUUCCUCCCAAGAGUUCAUAUCGACGGGGGAGUUUGGCACCUCGAUGUCGGCUCAUCACAUCCUGGGGCUGUAGCCGGUCCCAAGGGUAUGGCUGUUCGCCAUUUAAAGUGGUACGUGAGCUGGGUUUAAAACGUCGUGAGACAGUUUGGUCCCUAUCUGCCGUGGGCGUUGGACGUUUGAGGGGGGCUGCUCCUAGUACGAGAGGACCGGAGUGGACGCACCUCUGGUGUACCGGUUAUCACGCCAGUGGUAUUGCCGGGUAGCUAAGUGCGGAAGAGAUAAGCGCUGAAAGCAUCUAAGCGCGAAACUUGCCUCGAGAUGAGACGUCCCGUGAUGUAAGUCACCUAAAGGGUCGCGGUAGACCACCGCGUUGAUAGGUCGGGUGUGGAAGCGCAGUAAUGCGUUAAGCUAACCGAUACUAAUUGCCCGUGCGGCUUGAUCCU
Molecule: ribosomal RNA, 1328 nt
Filed under: metagenome
Description: bacterial LSU rRNA
Rfam family: Bacterial large subunit ribosomal RNA
Source: RNAcentral